This 305-nucleotide ribosomal RNA is filed under the name uncultured bacterium. Its description in RNAcentral is "bacterial SSU rRNA". It matches the Rfam family "Bacterial small subunit ribosomal RNA", at positions 338 to 659 of the family's 1533-position model. The record is from RNAcentral.
CCUACGGGAGGCAGCAGUGGGGAAUAUUGCGCAAUGGGGGAAACCCUGACGCAGCAACGCCGCGUGAGUGAAGACGUAUCUCGGUAUGUAAAGCUCUAUCAGCGGGGAAGAAGGAAGACGGUACCCGACUAAGAAGCCCCGGCUAACUACGUGCCAGCAGCCGCGGUAAUACGUAGGGGGCGAGCGUUAUCCGGAUUUACUGGGUGUAAAGGGAGCGUAGACGGCGUCGCAAGUCUGAAGUAAAAGCCCGUGACUCAACCGCGGAACCGCUUUGGAAACUGCGAGGCUGGAGUGCUGGAGAGGUA